This is an RNA transcript of Diceros bicornis minor, 3564 nucleotides long. It is a transcript of the gene named ADAMTS like 5, with no coding region annotated. The record is from RefSeq and is a predicted model, not a curated record. NCBI's taxonomy places the organism in Eukaryota, Metazoa, Chordata, Mammalia, Perissodactyla, Rhinocerotidae. The transcript is spliced from 13 exons.
UUCCGCCAAGGCCAUGGUCACGUGGAGGGUGUGGGUGGCGAGUGACUCCAUCCUUCCCCUGACAGAUGGGGAAACUGAGGCCGCGGAGGCGAAGUCUCCCCCUCCAGCCCUCCCACCUCUGUCCCUCGUCAUCUCACCCGUGGCCCUUUCCCUCCGCAGGCCGCCCUGGUGCUCUAUCCCACACCCUCUGCUCAUGAGGCCAUGAGGCACCGACUGGACCGGGGCCAGGUCACCCCUCCCUGCCCGUCCCCCAAUCCAGGGGCUCCCUGCUGCCGCGGGUCUGGGAGCUGAGGGGGCCCUGGAGGCCGGGGUGCUGCUGGGGUGCCUCUGCCCGGGACCGGCCCCUGAGCCAGCCCCCACUGGCCGCCCCUUCUGCAAGGUCUCAUCGAGUCCUGGACUGAGCCCAGCUGGCCCUCGCUGCACGGAUGGGGAAACUGAGGCCUGGGGAGGCAGAGCGGCUGGCCCCCGGCCAUACAGGAAGACCCCGUGCCCUCCGGAACCUCCUGCUUCUGCUGUGGACCCUCCUGGACUGUGGUUUGGGGGGCAGUGCUCAGGGUCCGGGUGAGUGGACUCCGUGGCGAUCGUGGAGUCGCUGUUCCAGCUCCUGCGGCCGGGGGCUCUCGGUGCGCAGCCGCCGGUGCGUCCGGUUCCCUGAGGAGGAGCCGUGCUGGGGGGAUUCCCACGAGUAUCGCCUCUGCCAGUUGCCAGACUGUCCCCCAGGGGCUGUGCCCUUCCGAGACCUCCAGUGUGCCCUCUACAAUGGCCACCCUGUCCUGGGCUCUCAGAAGGCCUACCGAUGGGUGCCCUUCUACGGCGCGCCCAACCAGUGCGACCUCAACUGCCUGGCCGAGGGGCACGCCUUCUACCACAGCUUCGGCCGCGUGCUGGACGGCACCCCCUGCAGCCCGGGUACCCAGGGUCUCUGCGUGGCUGGCCGCUGCCUCAACGCCGGCUGUGACGGUUUGCUCGGCUCGGACGCUCUCGAGGACCACUGCGGCCGCUGCGGCGGCGCCAACGACUCGUGCCUCUUCGUGCAGCGCGUGUUCCGUGACGCCGGUGCCUUCGCCGGGUACUGGAACGUGACCCUGAUCCCCGAGGGCGCCAGACACAUCCGCGCUGCCCACCGGAGCCGCAACCACCUGGCGCUGAUGGGGGGCGACGGGCGCUACGUGCUGAACGGGAAUUGGGCGGUCAGCCCGCCCGGGACCUACGAGGCGGCGGGCACCCUCGUGGUCUACACCCGCGCCGCAGCGGAGGAGACGCUGCACGCGGUGGGGCCCACCUCCCAAGACCUGCUCCUGCAGGUCCUCCUGCAGGAGCCCAACCCCGGCAUUGAGUUCGAGUUCUGGCUCCCUCGGGAGCGCUACGGUCCCUUCCAGGCGCAGGCGCAGGCCCUGGGCUGGUCCCUGCGGCAGCCGCAGCCUCGGGAGGUGGAACCUCAGCCCCCCGAGCCCCACGCAGGGCCCGCUGCCAGCCCCCCGAGGACCCCGACCCCUGCCCCAGACCCCUGCCCACCCUGCCCCGACACCCGCGGUCGCGCCCACCGGCUGCUCCACUAUUGCGGCAGCGACUUUGUGUUCCAGGCCCGCGUGCUCGGCCGCCUCCGCCAGGCCCAGGAGACCCGCUACGAGGUGCGUGUGCAGCUCGUCUACAAGAACCGCUCGCCACUGCAGGCCCUGGAGUACGUGUGGGCGCCGGGCCGCUGCCCCUGCCCACCGCUAGCCCUCCAUCGCGAGUACCUGCUGGCCGCCCGGCGCCUCGUCAGCCCCGAUGGCACUCAGGACCGGCUGCUACUACCCCAUGCUGGCUAUGCCCGGCCCUGGAGCCCUGCUGAGGACAGCCGAAUACGCCUGGUCGCCCGGCACUGCCCUGUCUGAGCCCCUGGACCAGGCCCCCGCCUCACACAGCAAGAAAGACAUGCCUGACCAGGCUCAAACUCAACCUAUUUCUCCUCUUGCCUUGGCUUCCAGGGGGCUCAGAAAUAUCUCCCACCGGAAGCUAUGUGACUCUCUGUCACACACACUUAGACACCCCUUCACGCAGUCAGAUCCACUGUCAUAAGCAGCCCCGCCGUGCGGCAACAUGUGUCCAGUAAUGAUCCUGUCUCAGCAGGCAGCAGAUGUCACAAUGUUUUCCUGAUUUGCUCUUUAGCUUUAAAACAAUUUAAAGAGAGAAGAAAACAUUGCAAUUCUAAAGAUGCUCCAAUUCAGCAAGAGUUCACGCGGCACCAACAGUCGCACUCGCCAAGAGAAAAUAUUAGGCACUGUUUUGCUGCUUUACAUUUAAACGCGAAUAAAAACUCCAGGCGGUUACAUAGACUGACGGCAACGGAGUGACUGAGUUCUGAUUCUGCGUCUCUCCAGUCCCAGCUCUUUUUAUUAUUUACUGUGUCCCCGGAGGAUGCACGGUGCCCUUUUGCGUGAGAGACCCAAACAGCGCCCAGAGACGUCGGUGGCCGCGGCGGAACGUCCUCUCCCAGGAGGCGCCCAGCUGAGCCCUCGCGUGCCGUGCGGAGGGGGACUUCUCCCCAUCGGCUUCCUGCAGGAGGCGGUUCAUAAAAAAUUCAAAUGAGCAAGGUUGAACUUGCAUCUCUGUUACUAAAACAAUGUCAGUUGCCACAAUUGUUUCAUUAGCUCCGGGAAGGAUUGUUGCAACAACGUUGGCUGGCUCCAGGGUCCCGAUGCUCGUCCUGUUGUCUUUAAUUCUCCGCAGACAGGGCAGCCCCAUGUCUGCAGCCGCCUGCCCUCCUCUCCCGGAGACCCUGGCCCAGAGGGCUGACCCCCCGGAGGACACGUGCCAGGUCACAGAGCUGCAGAAAGCCCCGGCCGGUCCUACAGCCCCGGGCUUGGACAGGGGCGUGCGGGGCGAGUGGAGGAGCCGCUUGGGAAGACAGUUGGGCGUGUCUGCUACGGAUGAUGGCCCCUCGCUGUAGUGGGUUGAAUCGCUGGGCCCAUGUCCCAACUCCCAGACCCUGUGAAGGGGACCUUAUCUGGAAAAAGGGACUGUGCAGAUGUGAUUAAAGGUCUCAAGAUGAGGGCUGGCCCCGUGGCUUAGCGGUUAAGUGCGCGCGCUCCGCUGCUGGCGGCCCGGGUUCGGAUCCUGGGCGCGCACCGACGCACCGCUUCUCCGACCAUGCUGAGGCCGCGUCCCACAUACAGCAACUAGAAGGAUGUGCAGCUGUGACAUACAACUAUCUACUGGGGCUUUUGGGGAAAAAAUAAAUAAAUAAAAUUUUAAAAAAAAAGGUCUCAAGAUGAGAUCAUCCUGGAUUAUCCAGGUGGGCCUUAAACCCAAUGACAAAUGUCCUCAUAAGAGACACACAGAGGAGACAGAGAGGCCACGUGUUGAGGGAGGCAGAGACGGGAGGGAUGCGGCCACAAGCCCAGGACGCCUGGAGCCCCCGGAAGCUGGGAGAGGCAGGAAGGACCCUCCGCUGGAGCCUCCGGAGGGAGCGCGGCCCCGCCACACCUCGAUCUCAGGCUUCUGGUCUCCAGAAUGUGAGAGAAUAAAUCUCUGUUGUUUUAAACCCCCAAGUGUGUGGUCAUUUGCUCCGGCCAGCCCAGG